UAUAGCCUGCUGUGUUCGUCAGGGAUCUGGCAAAUUUGAACCAACACUCAAAUACCCUGGGGAUGGCUGUCCUAAAGCGCGCCCGUGGGCCGCUGGCGUUGUUCCCACCUGUAAAACAGGUUCAAGGUCGCCCUUUCUCAACGGCAUAAGCGGGUUUUGA
This 160-nucleotide non-coding RNA is filed under the name Candidatus Omnitrophota bacterium. RNAcentral's name for it is "6S RNA". It matches the Rfam family "6S / SsrS RNA". Rfam says of the family: E. coli 6S RNA was the first non coding RNA to be sequenced, but its function was unknown until recently. The record is from RNAcentral. Lineage: Bacteria; Pseudomonadati; Candidatus Omnitrophota.